RNAcentral lists this long non-coding RNA (1122 nucleotides) under Elaeis guineensis (African oil palm). RNAcentral describes it as "long non-coding RNA (EGUI_LNC075586)". Lineage: Eukaryota; Viridiplantae; Streptophyta; Magnoliopsida; Arecales; Arecaceae. The record is from RNAcentral.
CAAAUAAUAAUGCAUUUAUCAAGUUCAAAGUUCAGUAAAUUACAUAUCUUGCAGGUUAUAGACUGAAACUAAGCAUCAAUCCACAGGCAUCGUCAAAAGAUCGAAAGAGUUCAAAAUGGGCAAUAUCUUCAAUAAACUUUAACAAUGAUUGCAGAAAUCUUCCAGAAUUUUGUCCUCUUCCUUGCUACAUCUUCCUCGUUACAAUUCUCCAUUCAACAAAUGUGCGUGUGUUAGGCAAGCAAAUCUUAGCUUUGCUUGCACAUGUCAGGCUCUGAUAUAAAUGGAAUUUCAAAAUCCUUCUUACAACUCAGAUUCAUAGGUGCAAUAAAGGUCUAAACAUUGAAGAACAACUCUGGUUUCAGUCGUGCUUCUCUGCAAAAUUUAAUAAUUUUGCAACCUUGAGGCCUCAUAUAAGAUCCCUGACAAUUCUUUAGGCCUUCUGAUCUCAAUAUAUAUUUCCAAUGAACAGUCCUACAAAAUAAGGAGGUUAAUCCAUAUAAAUUGUCUCCAAUGGACUCAAUUCAGAAUAGCAAUAACUUUGGUGGAUACACUAUAUACUUUCUAACUGCUCGGUGAAAUCAUUUAUCAGGCAGCCUGAUGGCUUCCAUCUCCCAAAUUUUCGUACAAAACAUCACCAAAAAAAUUGUAAUUUCCCAAAAUUAUAUAUGACAAUAAAUAUAUAUCAAAAAUGAGGAAAGAAAACAACUUGUCCUAGUGGAAGGAAAAAUGAUCUGGUGUCGCCUUUCAAUUUACAAGAACCACCUCUUCUCCUUUUUCGUAGAAUUGAGCUUCAUAACCAGUUCUUCGCGCUCGGCUUCCACUUCAGCAUACUGGAGGCUCAUUUGAAGGAAUCGUUCUCUUAUAUCUUUUAACUCUGCCUCUAGUGAUGAUAUCUUGCCAUUGUCACUGAUUGUUGCAUCAUUAUUUCUUGGCAUUUCAUUGAAAAUUUCAGUUUGAUUUUUUUCCUCAUCCAUAAAUCUACAAAAAACGCAUGAUACAAGAUGAAUAGUGGGUAAAUGAGCCUUACUCUUACUGGUUAUGAACUUUCAUACUUCAUGCUGUUAAUUGUCGAAAAAUGCACAAAAUGCCCCUCAGUUCUAUAUUAGGGUAACAAAUAAUGCC